CUACGGGAGGCAGCAGUGGGGAGUAUUGGACAAUGGGGGAAACCCUGAUCCAGCCAUGCCGCGUGAGUGAUGAAGGCCUUCGGGUUGUAAAGCUCUUUUAGCGGGGAAGAUGAUGACGGUACCCGCAGAAUAAGCCCCGGCUAACUUCGUGCCAGCAGCCGCGGUAAGACGAAGGGGGCUAGCGUUGUUCGGAAUUACUGGGCGUAAAGGGCGCGUAGGUGGCCCAGCAAGUCAGGCGUUAAAGACCCAGGCUCAACCUGGGGAAUGCGCUUGAGACUGCAGGGCUUGAGACCGGAAGAGGAGAGUGGAAUUCCCAGUGUAGAGGUGAAAUUCGUAGAUAUUGGGAAGAACACCAGUGGCGAAGGCGGCUCUCUGGUCCGGUUCUGACACUAAGGCGCGAAAGCGUGGGGAGCAAACAGGAUUAGAUACCCUGGUAGUCCACGCUGUAAACGAUGCGUGCUAGACGUUGGCAGGCCUAGCCUGUCGGUGUCGCAGCUAACGCGUUAAGCACGCCGCCUGGGGAGUACGGCCGCAAGGUUAAAACUCAAAGGAAUUGACGG
This 560-nucleotide ribosomal RNA is filed under the name uncultured bacterium. Its description in RNAcentral is "bacterial SSU rRNA". It matches the Rfam family "Bacterial small subunit ribosomal RNA", at positions 339 to 916 of the family's 1533-position model. The record is from RNAcentral.